RNAcentral lists this small nuclear RNA (18 nucleotides) under Arabidopsis thaliana (thale cress). Its description in RNAcentral is "snRNA_09402". The record is from RNAcentral. Lineage: Eukaryota; Viridiplantae; Streptophyta; Magnoliopsida; Brassicales; Brassicaceae.
GCAUGCGCCCGCCGCCCG